Non-coding RNA from Cricetulus griseus (Chinese hamster), 73 nucleotides. NCBI's taxonomy places the organism in Eukaryota, Metazoa, Chordata, Mammalia, Rodentia, Cricetidae. The record is from Rfam.
GGAGAGGUGGCUCAAAGAUUAAGAGCUCUGGCUGUUCUUCCAGAAGUCCUGGGUUCAAUUCCCAGCCACCACA